UCAGGUCUCCAAGGUGAACAACCUCUGGCCAAUGGAACAAUGUAGGCAAGGGAAGUCGGCAAAACGGAUCCAUAACUUCGGGAAAAGGAAUGGCUCUGAGGACUGGGCUCGGGGGUCCCAGCCCCGAACCCAUCGGCUGUCGGCAGAUUGCUCGAGCUGCUCACGCGGCGAGAGCGGGUCGCCGCGUGCCGGCCGGGGGACGGACCGGGAAUCCCCCCUUUGGGGGCUUUCCCCGAGCAU
Molecule: ribosomal RNA, 240 nt
Filed under: Triticum aestivum (bread wheat)
Lineage: Eukaryota; Viridiplantae; Streptophyta; Magnoliopsida; Poales; Poaceae
Description: partial small subunit ribosomal RNA
Rfam family: Eukaryotic large subunit ribosomal RNA
Source: RNAcentral